UGGGGAAUCUUGCGCAAUGGCCGAAAGGCUGACGCAGCGACGCCGCGUGUGGGAGGACGCCCUUCGGGGUGUAAACCACUGUUGCCCGGGACGAACCUCCUCUUUCGAGAGGACUGACGGUACCGGGUGAGGAAGCACCGGCUAACUCCGUGCCAGCAGCCGCGGUAAUACGGAGGGUGCGAGCGUUGUCCGGAAUCACUGGGCGUAAAGGGCGCGUAGGCGGCGCGGGAAGUCGUCGGGUGAAAGCUUAGGGCUCAACUCUGAGUCGGCCGGUGAUACUCUCGUGCUUGAGCACUGUAGAGGCAGGUGGAAUUCCGGGUGUAGCGGUGGAAUGCGUAGAGAUCCGGAAGAACACCGGUGGCGAAGGCGGCCUGCUGGGCAGUAGCUGACGCUGAUGCGCGACAGCGUGGGGAGCAAACAGGAUUAGAUACCCUGGUAGUCCACGCCGUAAACGAUGGGCACUAGGUGCUUGGGGGAGCGACCCUCUGAGUGCCGGCGCUAACGCAUUAAGUGCCCC
This 517-nucleotide ribosomal RNA is filed under the name uncultured bacterium. RNAcentral describes it as "bacterial SSU rRNA". It matches the Rfam family "Bacterial small subunit ribosomal RNA", at positions 355 to 870 of the family's 1533-position model. The record is from RNAcentral.